Molecule: non-coding RNA, 96 nt
Organism: Cryptococcus sp. DSM 104549
Lineage: Eukaryota; Fungi; Basidiomycota; Tremellomycetes; Tremellales; Cryptococcaceae
Source: the annotation of a GenBank genome assembly
GUCUCCAUGGUCCAGUGGUUAAGACGUUACAUUGUGGUUGUUAGAAAUCUAAUUUCACGCACUGUGGAAACGCGUGUUCGAUUCACGCUGGGGACA